This 774-nucleotide ribosomal RNA is filed under the name Flavobacterium ogurii. RNAcentral's name for it is "bacterial SSU rRNA". It matches the Rfam family "Bacterial small subunit ribosomal RNA", at positions 140 to 936 of the family's 1533-position model. Lineage: Bacteria; Pseudomonadati; Bacteroidota; Flavobacteriia; Flavobacteriales; Flavobacteriaceae. The record is from RNAcentral.
GGGAUAGCCUUUCGAAAGGAAGAUUAAUCCCCCAUAAUAUAAGAAACGGCAUCGUUUUUUAUUGAAAACUCCGGUGGAUAGAGAUGGGCACGCGCAAGAUUAGAUAGUUGGUGAGGUAACGGCUCACCAAGUCUACGAUCUUUAGGGGGCCUGAGAGGGNGAUCCCCCACACUGGUACUGAGACACGGACCAGACUCCUACGGGAGGCAGCAGUGAGGAAUAUUGGACAAUGGGUGAGAGCCUNAUCCAGCCAUGCCGCGUGCAGGAUGACUGCCCUAUGGGUUGUAAACUGCUUUUGUAUAGGGAUAAACCUNNNNUNGUGAGGGNAGCUGAAGGUACUAUACGAAUAAGCACCGGCUAACAUACGGAGGGUGCCAGCGUUAUCCGGAUUUAUUGGGUUUAAAGGGUCCGUAGGCGGAUUUGUAAGUCAGUGGUGAAAUCUCACAGCUUAACUGUGAAACUGCCAUUGAUACUGCAAGUCUUGAGUGUUGUUGAAGUAGCUGGAAUAAGUAGUGUAGCGGUGAAAUGCAUAGAUAUGUCUUAGAACACCAAUUGCGAAGGCAGGUUACUAAGCAACAACUGACGCUGAUGCACGAAAGCGUGGGGAGCGAACAGGAUUAGAUACCCUGGUAGUCCACGCCCUAAACGAUGCUGACUCGUUUUUGGCCUUUUAAGAUUCAGAGACUAAGCGAAAGUGAUAAGUUAGCCACCUGGGGAGUACGCUUGCAAGAAUGAAACUCAAAGGAAUUGACGGGGGCCCGCACAAGCGGUGGA